Molecule: non-coding RNA, 30 nt
Filed under: Mus musculus (house mouse)
Lineage: Eukaryota; Metazoa; Chordata; Mammalia; Rodentia; Muridae
Source: RNAcentral
UCCCACAUAGUUUUGUUUGGUUGAGGCAGC